GUGGGGAAUAUUGGACAAUGGGGGGAACCCUGAUCCAGCCAUGCCGCGUGUGUGAAGAAGGCCUUUUGGUUGUAAAGCACUUUAAGCGAGGAGGAGGCUACCGAGAUUAAUACUCUUGGAUAGUGGACGUUACUCGCAGAAUAAGCACCGGCUAACUCUGUGCCAGCAGCCGCGGUAAUACAGAGGGUGCAAGCGUUAAUCGGAUUUACUGGGCGUAAAGCGUGCGUAGGUGGCCAAUUAAGUCAAAUGUGAAAUCCCCGAGCUUAACUUGGGAAUUGCAUUCGAUACUGGUUGGCUAGAGUAUGGGAGAGGAUGGUAGAAUUCCAGGUGUAGCGGUGAAAUGCGUAGAGAUCUGGAGGAAUACCGAUGGCGAAGGCAGCCAUCUGGCCUAAUACUGACACUGAGGUGCGAAAGCAUGGGGAGCAAACAGGAUUAGAUACCCUUGUAGUCC
RNAcentral lists this ribosomal RNA (451 nucleotides) under uncultured bacterium. RNAcentral describes it as "partial 16S ribosomal RNA". It matches the Rfam family "Bacterial small subunit ribosomal RNA", at positions 354 to 796 of the family's 1533-position model. The record is from RNAcentral.